GUUGAACGCUGGCGGCAGGCCUAACACAUGCAAGUCGAGCGGAUGAAGGGAGCUCGCUUCUGGAUUCAGCGGCGGACGGGUGAGUAAUGCCUAGGAAUCUGCCUGGCAGUUGGGGAUAACGUCAGGAAACGAGAGCUAAUACAGCAUACGACCUGAGGGAGAAAGUCGGGGAUCUUCGGAGCUAACGCUAUCAGAUGAGCCUAGGUAGGAUUAGCUAGUUGGUGGGGUAAGGCCUACCAAGGCGACGAUCCGUAACUGGUCUGAGAGGACGAUCAGUCACACUGGAACUGAGACACGGUCCAGACCCCUACGGGAGGCAGCAGUGGGGAAUUUUGGACAAUGGGCGAAAGCCUGACCCAGCCAGGCCGCGUGUGUGAAGAAGGUCUUCGGAUGGUAAAGCACUUUAAUUUGGGAGGAAGGGCAGUAAGUUAAUACCUUGCUGUUUUGACGUUACCAACAGAAUAAGCACCGGCUAACUUCGUG
RNAcentral lists this ribosomal RNA (483 nucleotides) under uncultured bacterium. Its description in RNAcentral is "partial 16S ribosomal RNA". It matches the Rfam family "Bacterial small subunit ribosomal RNA", at positions 28 to 507 of the family's 1533-position model. The record is from RNAcentral.